Molecule: ribosomal RNA, 253 nt
Filed under: uncultured bacterium
Lineage: Bacteria
Description: partial 16S ribosomal RNA
Rfam family: Bacterial small subunit ribosomal RNA
Source: RNAcentral
UACGUAGGGUGCGAGCGUUAAUCGGAAUUACUGGGCGUAAAGCGUGCGCAGGCGGUUGUGUAAGACAGGUGUGAAAUCCCCGGGCUUAACCUGGGAACGGCGCUUGUGACUGCACGGCUAGAGUACGGCAGAGGGGGGUGGAAUUCCACGUGUAGCAGUGAAAUGCGUAGAUAUGUGGAGGAACACCGAUGGCGAAGGCAGCCCCCUGGGCCAGUACUGACGCUCAUGCACGAAAGCGUGGGGAGCAAACAGG